RNAcentral lists this long non-coding RNA (305 nucleotides) under Prunus persica (peach). Its description in RNAcentral is "long non-coding RNA (PPER_LNC000143)". Lineage: Eukaryota; Viridiplantae; Streptophyta; Magnoliopsida; Rosales; Rosaceae. The record is from RNAcentral.
GCGUUUCUGCGUUUGUGCGCAUGAGAGAGAGAAGGAGAGAUUGGCUUCUAUCUCAGUCGGAGAGAGGAGCCGAUGGGCAUGACACGGUCCUCCCCUAUUCUUCCUUGCGUCCCAGUGGUGGCCUUGCUGGGGAUGAACCCAUUCUGUUUUGGGUGUCUAAAUAAAUUUGGUGGUUGGGUGUGGUAUCUUGCUUUAAUCUGGGACUGCCGAAUGGUACUGGGCAGAGUUUUGAAGGUUGAUAUGGCUUCUGAAAGCCAUUGGCUGAAGCUAAAAUAUUGGAGAUGAGCUUAGAAAACUGGGUGCCG